RNAcentral lists this ribosomal RNA (255 nucleotides) under uncultured bacterium. RNAcentral's name for it is "partial 16S ribosomal RNA". It matches the Rfam family "Bacterial small subunit ribosomal RNA", at positions 526 to 779 of the family's 1533-position model. The record is from RNAcentral.
CGGAGGGUGCGAGCGUUGUCCGGAAUCACUGGGCGUAAAGGGCGCGUAGGUGGCCGUGGCAAGCGUGCGGUGAAAGCCCGGGGCUCAACCCCGGGUCGGCCGUGCGGACUGCCGGGCUGGGGCCCACUAGGGGCAGGCGGAAUUCCGGGUGUAGCGGUGGAAUGCGUAGAGAUCCGGAAGAACACCGGUGGCGAAGGCGGCCUGCUGGGGUGGAGCCGACACUGAGGCGCGACAGCGUGGGGAGCAAACAGGAUU